Esox lucius (northern pike) is the source of this 518-nucleotide long non-coding RNA. The record is from Ensembl. Lineage: Eukaryota; Metazoa; Chordata; Actinopteri; Esociformes; Esocidae.
CCGCGGAUGCGCACUUUAGAAUACUCCAGUACAGCACGUUCUGCCAGUGAUGUCACACAGGGGUGGGUCCCUCCGCGUCGCGACUGGAGAGCCCAGUAACAGCUCUCUCUCCAUUGAAGAAAAAGGUCUCCAGCUAAAAAUUUCUGAACCAGUGUACGGACAGCCAAUUAGAAAUGCAUAACUGCGUGUGGAUGACUGCCUUGGAGAGUUUCAGCAUCAUGAUAACUUCCAUUCAGUUGACUUUGCAACAGGUGGACAUCUCAAGGAUUCCAGCAACAUCUCAAGGAUUCCAGCAACAUCUCAAGGAUUCCAGCAACAUCUCAAGGAUUCCAGCAACAUCUCAAGGAUUCCAGCAACAUCUCAAGGAUGGUCAAAGGACAGAGAAUGCAUUCUGAGCUCAAUUUGGGGUAUCAUGGCAAAAGGUCUGAAUGCUUAUGUACAUGAGGUUUUUCAUUUUCAAUAAAUUGGCACAUAUUUGUAAAAUAUGUUUUUGCUUUGUCAUUAUGGGUUAGUGUGUG